AUGAAAACCAAACAAACAACAAAAAUAAAAUUCCUCUGGUGCCCUCGUUUCUGUGAUAGUGUCCAAGUCAGAUCCCAAAUCUGUGCUGGGUAGUCCCACCAAGUCUCCAGUAGGAUUAAUGCUAGAUGUGGGACUGAUCAUGGCUUCCAGAUGCUGGCACUGGGGCCAGAGUCUUCAUCCAGCAGCUUUCUGUAUGUCUUUCCUUGGUCCCUGCCAUGGCUCCUUACCCUGUGUGUCCUUGUGCCACUCUCCCAGUUGCUAUGGCACCGUCAGAGAUAGCCCAAGGCUUCUCCUAGUCUUAUAUAGUUCCUCCCAACCCUUGCACAACCUCCUCUGUUGCAUAUUUCUGGUGCAUCACUGUCGUCUUGCAUCACUGGUGGCAAGGCAGAGGGAAUACUGUUGGCCAACUCAUGCAUUGAGGUGAGUCUUGACUUCCCACAUGUUGCCCCACUAUGACUUAAGGCUGUUUAAGUUCUGCAUCCCUCUCACACUGCUGGGAGCAGGGCAGGAGGGGUGGUGGUGUUUACUCAUUACCUUCACCACCACAGCUUCAGUCUAACCUUGUUGCUAGAGGUUAGAGGUUUCAGUCAGCUGCUAUGGUGCUGGACAAAAAAAAGAAAACAAAAACUGGCAGCCCAUAGGGGAAGGAGCAGCUUCCUGGUCACUCACUCCUUUGCUGGUGAAAUUUGCUGCCAGGCUGCAAUAUGCUGUGUUUGGAGGAAGGCAAAAGAGUGCCCUUCUAAUCAGACGAACUCUCUCUGUCUACCACAUGAGGACAUGAGCAAGAAGAUAGCAGCUUGAAACCAGAAACAGGGCCUCCAUCAAACCUGACCAUGCUGGCACCCUGGUCUCACUCAGCUUCUAGAACUGUGAGAAGUAAAGUUCUGUUACUCAGGCCAAUCAGCUACGGAAUUUUGUAUAAAAAUUCAAACUAGGACAACUAAAUGCAUGUAUUUUUGAAUUGUUAAAUAUUCCUGGUGACGAUGGAGCAUUGUUUGCUUGGGGGCUGUGUAUGACUGUAGCUAUGUCAGUAAUCAGCUGAAAGUUCAAUGAGCUGGAUGCCUAUGAUGGUUCAUUGACAUGGCUGGCAUGUGUCACAAUUCUAUGAGGGAGCAUCUUGAGUAGGAGUGGCAAGAGAUGGAAGUCAUUAGGCCACUUAAAGGCUGUGUCCUUAGUUGGAACAGCACCAUUUCCACAGUAUUCUAUGGCCAAAGCAAUCCUACUGCCUUCCCAGAGUUAGAGAAAAAUCCUCAGGGUAGAUACAUGGCAAGAUCACACUGCAGUAGAGCUCUAAAGGACAAGAGAGACUGAAUGGCCACCUUUAAGAAACACAGUCCCAUACAAUGGGCUUGUAUGUGUAGUUUUCUAUCUAAAGAAUUCAGAUGUUAAGUUAUGAGACAUAAAACCUUCUAGAUUUUUCAUAUGAUGCACUUUGAAAUAAACUGUAUAACACCAUAUACUUAA
This is a long non-coding RNA of Chinchilla lanigera (long-tailed chinchilla), 1464 nucleotides long. RefSeq lists it as uncharacterized. Lineage: Eukaryota; Metazoa; Chordata; Mammalia; Rodentia; Chinchillidae. The record is from RefSeq and is a predicted model, not a curated record. The transcript has 2 exons.